CAUUAUGGUGGGGCGUGCGGGGGCGGAGAAAUCCGCGCCGGUUCCUUUUCCCGGUUACGCCAACCCUGUACGUCUCACCACCUCU
Molecule: non-coding RNA, 85 nt
Filed under: Enterobacter hormaechei
Lineage: Bacteria; Pseudomonadati; Pseudomonadota; Gammaproteobacteria; Enterobacterales; Enterobacteriaceae
Source: RNAcentral